ACAUUUUCUUUAUCCAUUUGUCCAUUGACGGACAUGACACUCAGGUUGUUUCUAUAUCUUGGCUAUUGUAAAUAACGCUGCCAUAAAUGGGGGUGCACAUACCUUUUCGAGUUAACGUUUUAGUUUCCUUUGGAUAAACACACAGAAGCGGAAUUGCUGGAUCCUAUGGUAGGUCUAUAUUUAAUUUAUUGAGGAAACUUUGUACUGUUUUCCAUAGUGGUUGUACCAAUUCCAUUCUACAGUUUUGCCCAGCUCUGUUGCACUGCAGUUUUACUUUUGAUUUUAGUUGGCCAGUGAGGAAUGAGGCUGCACUCUAGGUAUCAACCUCAAAGUGUUAUCCGCUGCUGUGCUGGGCCCCCAACAUGACACAUUGCCUUCCUCUCUCUACAGAACUCAUUAUUGGUCCAGCCAACAUUUACUGGGCACUUGGCCCUCUGUGUGAGCUGGGGAUCUGGAAGAGCAAGACAAGUUCCCUGCUGAUAAAAUCUCACUGCGUUGUGAGGAAACCCACCACGUUUAAAAAUACAGGUCUCCAUUGGUGAAUGUAAUGAUGAGGCACAGAGAGGUUAGGCAACUUGCCCAAGAUCACACGGCUAGGAAGGAGAAGAUCAGGGAAUUCCAAUCCAGGCGACCGUUUCAGGUUUGAAGUGGGAAGUCAGUGGUGCCUCCCUUCCGAGUGCAAGGGUUCAUUACAGGUGUGUGCUGGAGCUGGUUCCUGCGGACCUGUGAGAGCUGAUCGUGUGCAUCUCUUCCCAGCUCUGCUCAGUGACAUCACAUUGGCAGCUUGAAAUUAGCCACGGUGGGAGAAUUUACUCCAUGGGAAUUGGCAAACCUUAUACAUCAAGGCUCCUUCCACCCACACAUCCCUCCCCCAAAUGAGUGAAUCUCCCCGUGCCUUGGGAAUCAUAAGAGUACUUCGCCUCUAGAUUACUCUGAAGAUAUAGUGAGAUGAAGCAAGUAAAGCACAAGGCAUUGCUUGUAUGUUUUUUUAAAUAAAUGAUACAUACUGAGAGUUGAAAACAAACAAACAAAUGUUACGAAAGUUUCCUUGUCAACCUGGACUUCCAUUCCAAUUCCUCUCCCAAAAGGCAACCUGUUUCUCCAAAUCCUUCCAGAGAUAUGUAAGCAUAUAUAAACGGUACACGUGCGUGUGUGUGUGUGUGUGUGUGUGAUCUUC
Molecule: long non-coding RNA, 1177 nt
Organism: Mirounga angustirostris (Northern elephant seal)
Lineage: Eukaryota; Metazoa; Chordata; Mammalia; Carnivora; Phocidae
Exons: 3
Source: RefSeq, a predicted model, not a curated record